RNAcentral lists this ribosomal RNA (253 nucleotides) under uncultured bacterium. RNAcentral's name for it is "partial 16S ribosomal RNA". It matches the Rfam family "Bacterial small subunit ribosomal RNA", at positions 524 to 776 of the family's 1533-position model. The record is from RNAcentral.
UACGAAGGGUGCAAGCGUUACUCGGAAUUACUGGGCGUAAAGCGCGCGUAGGUGGUUUGUUAAGUCUGAUGUGAAAGCCCUGGGCUCAACCUGGGAAUUGCAUUGGAUACUGGCAGGCUAGAGUGCGGUAGAGGAUGGCGGAAUUCCCGGUGUAGCAGUGAAAUGCGUAGAGAUCGGGAGGAACAUCUGUGGCGAAGGCGGCCAUCUGGACCAGCACUGACACUGAGGCACGAAAGCGUGGGGAGCAAACAGG